RNAcentral lists this ribosomal RNA (531 nucleotides) under uncultured fungus. RNAcentral describes it as "SSU rRNA". It matches the Rfam family "Eukaryotic small subunit ribosomal RNA", at positions 558 to 1099 of the family's 1831-position model. The record is from RNAcentral. Lineage: Eukaryota; Fungi.
CAAGUCUGGUGCCAGCAGCCGCGGUAAUUCCAGCUCCAAUAGCGUAUAUUAAAGUUGUUGCAGUUAAAAAGCUCGUAGUUGAAUUUCGGGRUCAGCAGGUUGGUCGUGCCUCUGGUAUGAACUGGCCUCGUUGAUUUCUCCUUUUUGAAGAACCRUGAUKUCAUUAAUUUGGUGUYGCGGGGAAACAGGACUGUUACUUUGAAAAAAUUAGAGUGUUUAAAGCAGGCUWAAGCYUGAAUACAUUAGCAUGGAAUAAURAAAUAGGACGUUUGAYCCUAUUUUGUUGGUUUCUAGGRUUGACGUAAUGAYUAAUAGGGAUAGUUGGGGGCAUUAGUAUUCAAUUGUCAGAGGUGAAAUUCUUGGAUUUAUUGAAGACUAACUACUGCGAAAGCAUUUGCCAAGGAUGUUUUCAUUAAUCAAGAACGAAAGUUAGGGGAUCGAAGACGAUCAGAUACCGUCGUAGUCUUAACCAUAAACUAUGCCGACUAGGGAUCGGAUGAUGUUAAUUUUUUAAUGACUCAUUCGGCGCCU